RNAcentral lists this ribosomal RNA (169 nucleotides) under Teratosphaeria molleriana. RNAcentral's name for it is "partial 18S ribosomal RNA". It matches the Rfam family "Eukaryotic small subunit ribosomal RNA", at positions 1664 to 1830 of the family's 1831-position model. Lineage: Eukaryota; Fungi; Ascomycota; Dothideomycetes; Mycosphaerellales; Teratosphaeriaceae. The record is from RNAcentral.
ACACACCGCCCGUCGCUACUACCGAUUGAAUGGCUCAGUGAGGCGUUCGGACUGGCCCAGGGAGGUCGGCAACGACCACCCAGGGCCGGAAAGUUCGUCAAACUUGGUCAUUUAGAGGAAGUAAAAGUCGUAACAAGGUCUCCGUAGGUGAACCUGCGGAGGGAUCAUU